RNAcentral lists this ribosomal RNA (513 nucleotides) under Hepatozoon canis. Its description in RNAcentral is "bacterial SSU rRNA". It matches the Rfam family "Eukaryotic small subunit ribosomal RNA", at positions 304 to 810 of the family's 1831-position model. The record is from RNAcentral. Lineage: Eukaryota; Apicomplexa; Hepatozoidae.
UUUCUGACCUAUCAGCUUUCGACGGUAUGGUAUUGGCUUACCGUGGCAGUGACGGUUAACGGGGGAUUAGGGUUCGAUUCCGGAGAGGGAGCCUGAGAAACGGCUACCACAUCUAAGGAAGGCAGCAGGCGCGCAAAUUACCCAAUUCUAACAGUUUGAGAGAGGUAGUAACAAGAAAUAACAAUACAAGGCAGUUAAAAUGCUUUGUAAUUGGAAUGAUAGAAAUUUAAACCCUUUUUAAAGUAUCAAUUGGAGGGCAAGUCUGGUGCCAGCAGCCGCGGUAAUUCCAGCUCCAAUAGCGUAUAUUAAAAUUGUUGCAGUUAAAAAGCUCGUAGUUGAAGUUCUGCUAAAAGUAACCGGUCUGCUUUUAAUAAAGGUGGUAUCUUGGUGUGUAUUUAGCAAUGAUGUCCUUUGAAGUGUUUUUUACUUUAUUGUAAUAAAGCAUAUUCAGGACUUUUACUUUGAGAAAAUUAGAGUGUUUCUAGCAGGCUAACGCUUUGAAUACUGCAGNUG